Molecule: ribosomal RNA, 433 nt
Filed under: uncultured bacterium
Lineage: Bacteria
Description: partial 16S ribosomal RNA
Rfam family: Bacterial small subunit ribosomal RNA
Source: RNAcentral
AACGAACGCUGGCGGCAUGCCUAACACAUGCAAGUCGAACGAGACCUUCGGGUUUAGUGGCGCAAGGGCGCGUAACGCGUGGGAACAUGCCCUAAUGUUCGGAAUAACUCCCCGCCAGGGCUGCUAAUACCGGCUAAUGUCUUCGGACUAAGGAUUUAUCGCCCUGGGGUGGGCCCGCGUUGGAUUAGCUAGUUGGUCGGGUAAAGGCCUACCAAGGCGAGGCUGCAUAGCUGGUUUGAGAGGAUGUGCGGCCACACUGAGACUGAGACACGGCAGAGAUUCGUACGGUAGGAAGCAGUGGGGAAUAGUGAACAAUGGGCGAAGGGCUGAUGCAGCAAGGCCGCGUGAGUGAUGAAGGCCUUGAGGGUGUAAAGCUCAUUUACCCGGGAGGGUAAUGACAGUACCGGGAGAAUAAGCUCCGGCUAACUACGUG